Molecule: ribosomal RNA, 693 nt
Filed under: uncultured bacterium
Lineage: Bacteria
Description: bacterial SSU rRNA
Rfam family: Bacterial small subunit ribosomal RNA
Source: RNAcentral
GAGUGGCGGACGGGUGAGUAAUGUCUGGGAAACUGCCUGAUGGAGGGGGAUAACUACUGGAAACGGUAGCUAAUACCGCAUAACGUCGCAAGACCAAAGAGGGGACCUUCGGGCCUCUUGCCAUCGGAUGUGCCCAGAUGGGAUUAGCUAGUAGGUGGGGUAACGGCUCACCUAGGCGACGAUCCCUAGCUGGUCUGAGAGGAUGACCAGCCACACUGGAACUGAGACACGGUCCAGACUCCUACGGGAGGCAGCAGUGGGGAAUAUUGCACAAUGGGCGCAAGCCUGAUGCAGCCAUGCCGCGUGUAUGAAGAAGGCCUUCGGGUUGUAAAGUACUUUCAGCGGGGAGGAAGGGAGUAAAGUUAAUACCUUUGCUCAUUGACGUUACCCGCAGAAGAAGCACCGGCUAACUCCGUGCCAGCAGCCGCGGUAAUACGGAGGGUGCAAGCGUUAAUCGGAAUUACUGGGCGUAAAGCGCACGCAGGCGGUUUGUUAAGUCAGAUGUGAAAUCCCCGGGCUCAACCUGGGAACUGCAUCUGAUACUGGCAAGCUUGAGUCUCGUAGAGGGGGGUAGAAUUCCAGGUGUAGCGGUGAAAUGCGUAGAGAUCUGGAGGAAUACCGGUGGCGAAGGCGGCCCCCUGGACGAAGACUGACGCUCAGGUGCGAAAGCGUGGGGAGCAAACAGGAUUAGAU